AAUCAACGCUGGGCGGCGUGCCUCAGACAUGCAAGUCGAACGAUUAAAGCUCUCUUCGGAGAGUGUAUAGAGUGGCGCACGGGUGAGUAACACGUAAGUAAUCUACCUUCGAGGUGGGGAAUAACGUCCGGAAACGGACGCUAAUACCGCAUAAUGCAGCGGCAUCGCAAGACGACAGUUGUUAAAGAUUUAUCGCUUGAAGAGGAGCUUGCGGCAGANAGCUUGUUGGUAAGGUAACGGCUUACCAAGGCUACGAUCUGUAUCCGGUCUAAGAGGACGGUCGGACACACUGACACUGAAUAACGGGUCAGACUCCUACGGGAGGCAGCAAGUAAGGAAUAUUGGACAAAUGGAGACAACUCUGAUCCAGCCAUGCCGCG
This 380-nucleotide ribosomal RNA is filed under the name uncultured bacterium. Its description in RNAcentral is "bacterial SSU rRNA". It matches the Rfam family "Bacterial small subunit ribosomal RNA", at positions 32 to 401 of the family's 1533-position model. The record is from RNAcentral.